AUUGAACGCUGGCGGCAGGCUUAACACAUGCAAGUCGAGCGGAGAUGAGGUGCUUGCACCUUAUCUUAGCGGCGGACGGGUGAGUAAUGCUUAGGAAUCUGCCUAUUAGUGGGGGACAACAUUCCGAAAGGAAUGCUAAUACCGCAUACGUCCUACGGGAGAAAGCAGGGGAUCUUCGGACCUUGCGCUAAUAGAUGAGCCUAAGUCGGAUUAGCUAGUUGGUGGGGUAAAGGCCUACCAAGGCGACGAUCUGUAGCGGGUCUGAGAGGAUGAUCCGCCACACUGGGACUGAGACACGGCCCAGACUCCUACGGGAGGCAGCAGUGGGGAAUAUUGGACAAUGGGGGGAACCCUGAUCCAGCCAUGCCGCGUGUGUGAAGAAGGCCUUAUGGUUGUAAAGCACUUUUAGCGAGGAGGAGGCUACUGAGACUAACACUCUUGGAUAGUGGACGUUACUCGCAGAAUAAGCACCGGCUAACUCUGUGCCAGCCGCCGCAGUAA
This 501-nucleotide ribosomal RNA is filed under the name uncultured bacterium. Its description in RNAcentral is "partial 16S ribosomal RNA". It matches the Rfam family "Bacterial small subunit ribosomal RNA", at positions 30 to 523 of the family's 1533-position model. The record is from RNAcentral.